RNAcentral lists this small RNA (29 nucleotides) under Bombyx mori (domestic silkworm). RNAcentral's name for it is "ovarian small RNA-7913". The record is from RNAcentral. Lineage: Eukaryota; Metazoa; Arthropoda; Insecta; Lepidoptera; Bombycidae.
UGAACAUCAAGUGAAUUGUUGUUAUGAAA